UACGAAGGGGGCUAGCGUUGCUCGGAAUCACUGGGCGUAAAGCGUGCGCAGGCGGCUUCUCAAGUCAGGGGUGAAAGCCCAGAGCUCAACUCUGGAAUUGCCUUUGAGACUGAGUGGCUUGAGUACGAGAGAGGUGAGUGGAAUUCCCAGUGUAGAGGUGAAAUUCGUAGAUAUUGGGAAGAACACCGGUGGCGAAGGCGGCUCACUGGCUCGUAACUGACGCUCAUGCACGACAGCGUGGGGAUCAAACAGG
RNAcentral lists this ribosomal RNA (253 nucleotides) under uncultured bacterium. RNAcentral describes it as "partial 16S ribosomal RNA". It matches the Rfam family "Bacterial small subunit ribosomal RNA", at positions 524 to 776 of the family's 1533-position model. The record is from RNAcentral.